RNAcentral lists this ribosomal RNA (859 nucleotides) under NC10 bacterium enrichment culture clone EN7. RNAcentral's name for it is "bacterial SSU rRNA". It matches the Rfam family "Bacterial small subunit ribosomal RNA", at positions 199 to 1034 of the family's 1533-position model. Lineage: Bacteria; Methylomirabilota (SeqCode). The record is from RNAcentral.
GACCAAAGGGGGCGAGCGCAAGCAGCUUCCACCGAAGGAGGAGCCUGCGUCCGAUUAGCUAGUUGGUGGGGUAACGGCCUACCAAGGCGACGAUCGGUAGCCGGCCUGAGAGGGCGACCGGCCACACUGGAACUGAGACACGGUCCAGACUCCUACGGGAGGCAGCAGUGGGGAAUAUUGCGCAAUGGGCGAAAGCCUGACGCAGCGACGCCGCGUGGGUGAUGAAGGCCUUCGGGUUGUAAAGCCCUGUCUGGUGGAACGAAUGGCUUAGCGGCGAAUAACCGCUAGGUGUGACGGUACCACCGAAGGAAGCCCCGGCUAACUACGUGCCAGCAGCCGCGGUAAGACGUAGGGGGCGAGCGUUGUUCGGAUUUACUGGGCGUAGAGCGCGCGUAGGCGGCCAGAUAAGUCGGGUGUGAAAUCCCUCGGCUCAACCGAGGGUCCGCAUCUGAUACUGCUUGGCUCGAGUCUAGGAGAGGAAAGCGGAAUUCCCAGUGUAGCGGUGAAAUGCGUAGAUAUUGGGAGGAACACCGGUGGCGAAGGCGGCUUUCCGGACUAGCACUGACGCUGAGGCGCGAAAGCUAGGGGAGCGAACGGGAUUAGAUACCCCGGUAGUCCUAGCCGUAAACGAUGGGCACUAGGUGUGGGAGGUAUUGACCCCUUCCGCGCCGAAGCUAACGCAUUAAGUGCCCCGCCUGGGGAGUACGGCCGCAAGGCUAAAACUCAAAGGAAUUGACGGGGGCCCGCACAAGCGGUGGAGCAUGUGGUUUAAUUCGACGCAACGCGAAGAACCUUACCAGGGCUUGACAUCCCACGAAUCUGCCUGAAAGGGCGGAGUGCCCGCAAGGGAGCGUGGAGA